Molecule: ribosomal RNA, 445 nt
Filed under: uncultured bacterium
Lineage: Bacteria
Description: partial 16S ribosomal RNA
Rfam family: Bacterial small subunit ribosomal RNA
Source: RNAcentral
GUGAGGAAUAUUGCGCAAUGGAGGCAACUCUGACGCAGCCAUGCCGCGUGCAGGAAGAAGGCGCUACGCGUUGUAAACUGCUUUUAACCGGGAAGAAACCCCAGGACGUGUCCUGGGUUGACGGUACCGGAGGAAUAAGCACCGGCUAACUUCGUGCCAGCAGCCGCGGUAAUACGAAGGGUGCAAGCGUUAUCCGGAUUCAUUGGGUUUAAAGGGUGCGUAGGCGGAGCGUUAAGUCAGUGGUGAAAUCCUGCAGCUUAACUGUAGACUUGCCAUUGAUACUGGAGCGCUUGAGUGCGCUUGAAGGGGGCGGAAUGUGACGUGUAGCGGUGAAAUGCUUAGAUAUGGCACAGAACACCAAUUGCGAAGGCAGCUCACUAAGGCGAUACUGACGCUGAGGCACGAAAGCGUGGGGAUCGAACAGGAUUAGAAACCCCGGUAGUCC